Molecule: transfer RNA, 72 nt
Filed under: bacterium
Lineage: Bacteria
Description: tRNA-Ala
Rfam family: tRNA
About the family: Transfer RNA (tRNA) molecules are approximately 80 nucleotides in length. Their secondary structure includes four short double-helical elements and three loops (D, anti-codon, and T loops). Further hydrogen bonds mediate the characteristic L-shaped molecular structure. tRNAs have two regions of fundamental functional importance: the anti-codon, which is responsible for specific mRNA codon recognition, and the 3' end, to which the tRNAs corresponding amino acid is attached (by aminoacyl-tRNA synthetases). tRNAs cope with the degeneracy of the genetic code in two manners: having more than one tRNA (with a specific anti-codon) for a particular amino acid; and 'wobble' base-pairing, i.e. permitting non-standard base-pairing at the 3rd anti-codon position.
Source: RNAcentral
GGGGUCGUAGCUCAGCGUGAGAGCGUCUCGUUUGCACCGAGAAGGUCAGGGGUUCAAAUCCCCUCGGCUCCA